UUUGUUUAAGAAGACUAUGAAUCAUGUAUUGUAGAUGGGCACUUGAUACAUGAGGAGUUAGUAGUGCAACCGGCCUUAAAUUUU
This 84-nucleotide non-coding RNA is filed under the name Clostridium saccharoperbutylacetonicum. Its description in RNAcentral is "c-di-GMP-II sequence". It matches the Rfam family "Cyclic di-GMP-II riboswitch aptamer". Lineage: Bacteria; Bacillati; Bacillota; Clostridia; Eubacteriales; Clostridiaceae. RNAcentral also lists the same sequence under 1 other name. The record is from RNAcentral.